GCUUAACACAUGCAAGUCGAGGGGAAACGACAUCGAAAGCUUGCUUUUGAUGGGCGUCGACCGGCGCACGGGUGAGUAACGCGUAUCCAACCUGCCCACCACUUGGGGAUAACCUUGCGAAAGUAAGACUAAUACCCAAUGAUAUCUCUAGAAGACAUCUGAAAGAGAUUAAAGAUUUAUCGGUGAUGGAUGGGGAUGCGUCUGAUUAGCUUGUUGGCGGGGUAACGGCCCACCAAGGCGACGAUCAGUAGGGGUUCUGAGAGGAAGGUCCCCCACAUUGGAACUGAGACACGGUCCAAACUCCUACGGGAGGCAGCAGUGAGGAAUAUUGGUCAAUGGGCGAGAGCCUGAACCAGCCAAGUAGCGUGCAGGAUGACGGCCCUAUGGGUUGUAAACUGCUUUUAUAAGGGAAUAAAGUGAGUCUCGUGAGACUUUUUGCAUGUACCUUAUGAAUAAGGACCGGCUAAUUCCGUGCCAGCAGCCGCGGUAAUACGGAAGGUCCGGGCGUUAUCCGGAUUUAUUGGGUUUAAAGGGAGCGUAGGCCGGAGAUUAAGCGUGUUGUGAAAUGUAGACGCUCAACGUCUGCACUGCAGCGCGAACUGGUUUCCUUGAGUACGCACAAAGUGGGCGGAAUUCGUGGUGUAGCGGUGAAAUGCUUAGAUAUCACGAAGAACUCCGAUUGCGAAGGCAGUUCACUGGAGCGCAACUGACGCUGAAGCUCGAAAGUGCGGGUAUCGAACAGGAUUAGAUACCCUGGUAGUCCGCACGGUAAACGAUGGAUGCCCGCUGUUGGUCUGAAUAGGUCAGCGGCCAAGCGAAAGCAUUAAGCAUCCCACCUGGGGAGUACGCCGGCAACGGUG
Molecule: ribosomal RNA, 860 nt
Filed under: uncultured bacterium
Lineage: Bacteria
Description: bacterial SSU rRNA
Rfam family: Bacterial small subunit ribosomal RNA
Source: RNAcentral